Molecule: ribosomal RNA, 788 nt
Filed under: uncultured archaeon
Lineage: Archaea
Description: bacterial SSU rRNA
Rfam family: Archaeal small subunit ribosomal RNA
Source: RNAcentral
ACGGCUCAGUAACACGUAGUCAACAUAACCAAAGGACGUGGAUAAACUCGGGAAACUGAGGCUAAACCGCGAUAGAUCAAGAUACCUGGAAUGGUUUUUGAUCAAAAUCUAUAUGGCCUUUGGAUUGGACUGCGUCCGAUCAGGCUGUUGGUGAGGUAAUGGCCCACCAAGCCUAUAACCGGUGCGGGCCGUGAGAGCGGGAGCCCGGAGAUGGGCACUGAGACAAGGGCCCAGGUCCUACGGGGCGCAGCAGUCGCGAAACCUUUGCAAUACACGCAAGUGUGACAGGGUCAUCCCGAGUGCCGACCGCUGAGGUUGGCUUUUACCCAGUCUAGAAAGCUGGGGGAAUAAGGAGAGGGCAAGUCUGGUGUCAGCCGCCGCGGUAAUACCAGCUCUCCGAGUGGUGUGGACGUUUAUUGGGCCUAAAGCAUCCGUAGCUGGCUGAACAAGUCCCCUGUUAAACCCACCGAUUUAAUCGUUGGCUUGCGGGGGAUACUGCUCGGCUAGGGGACGAGAGAGGCAGACGGUAUUCCCGGGGUAGGGGUGAAAUCCUAUAAUCCCGAGAAGACCACCAGUGGCGAAGGCUGUCUGCUAGAACGCGCCCGACGGUGAGGGAUGAAAGCUGGGGGAGCGAACCGGAUUAGAUACCCGGGUAGUCCCAGCUGUAAACGAUGCAGACUAGGUGUUUGGACGGCCACGUGCCGUUCUAGUGCCGCAGGGAAGCUGUUAAGUCUGCCGCCUGGGGAGUACGAUCGCAAGAUUGAAACUUAAAGGAAUUGGCGGGGGAG